This is a non-coding RNA of Ornithorhynchus anatinus (platypus), 72 nucleotides long. The record is from Rfam. NCBI's taxonomy places the organism in Eukaryota, Metazoa, Chordata, Mammalia, Monotremata, Ornithorhynchidae.
AGCAGCGUGGCUCAGUGGAAAGAGCCCGGGCUUGGGAGUCAGAGGUCAUGGGUUCAAAUCCCGGCUCUGCCA